CUACGGGAGGCUGCAGUGGGGAAUAUUGCACAAUGGGCGCAAGCCUGAUGCAGCAACGCCGCGUGAGGGAUGAAGGCCUUCGGGUUGUAAACCUCCUUUAGCAGGGAAGAAGCGAAAGUGACGGUACCUGCAGAAAAAGCACCGGCUAACUACGUGCCAGCAGCCGCGGUAAUACGUAGGGUGCAAGCGUUGUCCGGAAUUAUUGGGCGUACAGAGCUCGUAGGCGGUUUGUCACGUCUGCUGUGAAAAUCCAAGGCUCAACCUUGGACUUGCAGUGGGUACGGGCAGGCUAGAGUGCGGUAGGGGAGAUGGGAAUUCCUGGUGUAGCGGUGGAAUGCGCAGAUAUCAGGAGGAACACCAAUGGCGAAGGCACAUCUCUGGGCCGUAACUGACGCUGAGGAGCGAAAGCGUGGGGAGCGAACAGGAUUAGAUACCCGCGUAGGU
Molecule: ribosomal RNA, 444 nt
Filed under: uncultured bacterium
Lineage: Bacteria
Description: partial 16S ribosomal RNA
Rfam family: Bacterial small subunit ribosomal RNA
Source: RNAcentral